AGUGAACGCUGGCGGUAGGCCUAACACAUGCAAGUCGAACGGCAGCACAGUAAGAGCUUGCUCUUACGGGUGGCGAGUGGCGGACGGGUGAGGAAUACAUCGGAAUCUACUUUUUCGUGGGGGAUAACGUAGGGAAACUUACGCUAAUACCGCAUACGACCUACGGGUGAAAGCAGGGGAUCUUCGGACCUUGCGCGAUUGAAUGAGCCGAUGUCGGAUUAGCUAGUUGGCGGGGUAAAGGCCCACCAAGGCGACGAUCCGUAGCUGGUCUGAGAGGAUGAUCAGCCACACUGGAACUGGGACACGGUCCAGGCUACUACGGGAGGCAGCAGUGGGGAAUAUUGGACAGUAGGCGCAAGCCUGAUCCAGCCAUACCGCGUGGGUGAAGAAGGCCUUCGGGUUGUAAAGCCCUUUUGUUGGGAAAGAAAAGCAGCAGGUUAAUACCCCGCUGUUCUGACGGUACCCAAAGAAUAAGCACCGGCUAACUUCGUG
RNAcentral lists this ribosomal RNA (492 nucleotides) under uncultured bacterium. Its description in RNAcentral is "partial 16S ribosomal RNA". It matches the Rfam family "Bacterial small subunit ribosomal RNA", at positions 29 to 507 of the family's 1533-position model. The record is from RNAcentral.